AUUGAACGCUGGCGGCAGGCCUAACACAUGCAAGUCGAACGGUAACAGAAAGCAGCUUGCUGCUUUGCUGACGAGUGGCGGACGGGUGGGUAAUGUCUGGGAAACUGCCUGAUGGAGGGGGAUAACUACUGGAAACGGUAGCUAAUACCGCAUAACGUCGCAAGACCAAAGAGGGGGACCUUCGGGCCUCUUGCCAUCGGAUGUGCCCAGAUGGGAUUAGCUAGUAGGUGGGGUAACGGCUCACCUAGGCGACGAUCCCUAGCUGGUCUGAGAGGAUGACCAGCCAAACCGGAACUGGGACACGGUCCAGACUCCCACGGGAGGCAGGAGUGGGGAAUAUUGGACAAUGGGCGCAAGCCUGAUGCAGCCAUGCCGCGUGUAUGAAGAAGGCCUUCGGGUUGUAAAGUACUUUCAGCGGGGAGGAAGGGAGUAAAGUUAAUACCUUUGCUCAUUGACGUUACCCGCAGAAGAAGCACCGGCUAACUCCGUG
This 490-nucleotide ribosomal RNA is filed under the name uncultured bacterium. Its description in RNAcentral is "partial 16S ribosomal RNA". It matches the Rfam family "Bacterial small subunit ribosomal RNA", at positions 30 to 507 of the family's 1533-position model. The record is from RNAcentral.